ACGUACUGGCAUUGUUGGUUUCCCCCUUCUGACGAACCAUGAUGUCAUUUAUUUGGUGUUGUGGGGAAUCAGGACUGUUACUUUGAAAAAAUUAGAGUGUUUAAAGCAGGCUCACGCUUGAAUACAUUAGCAUGGAAUAAUGAAAUAGGACGUUUGAUUCUAUUUUGUUGGUUUCUAGGAUCGACGUAAUGAUUAAUAGGGAUAGUUGGGGGCAUUAGUAUUCAAUUGUCAGAGGUGAAAUUCUUGGAUUUAUUGAAGACUAACUACUGCGAAAGCAUUUGCCAAGGAUGUUUUCAUUAAUCAAGAACGAAAGUUAGGGGAUCGAAGACGAUCAGAUACCGUCGUAGUCUUAACCAUAAACUAUGCCGACUAGGGAUCGGAUGAUGUUAAUUUUUUAAUGACUCAUUCGGCGCCUUACG
This 419-nucleotide ribosomal RNA is filed under the name uncultured Glomeromycotina. RNAcentral describes it as "SSU rRNA". It matches the Rfam family "Eukaryotic small subunit ribosomal RNA", at positions 675 to 1092 of the family's 1831-position model. The record is from RNAcentral. Lineage: Eukaryota; Fungi; Glomeromycota.